RNAcentral lists this ribosomal RNA (363 nucleotides) under uncultured eukaryote. Its description in RNAcentral is "partial 18S ribosomal RNA". It matches the Rfam family "Eukaryotic small subunit ribosomal RNA", at positions 592 to 976 of the family's 1831-position model. The record is from RNAcentral.
CAAUAGCGUAUACUAAUGUUGUUGCAGUUAAAAAGCUCGUAGUUGAACUUCUGGUAGGAGUGUCCCGGCCUUUUUGUUUUUACAAAUUGUAUGCUGUGUGACAUCUCUGGCCAUCCUUCUUCUUUGUUUAAAGAAGAUCUUUCACUGUAAAAAAAUUAGGGUGUUCAAAGCAAAAGUUUCUUUGGAAUAUAUUAGUAUGGGAUGAUAAGAUAGGCUCUAGAUGCUAUUUUGUUGGUUUGCACAUUUAGAGAAUGAUUAACAGGGACAGUUGGGGGUAUUCGUAUUUACAUGUCAGAGGUGAAAUUCAUGGAUUUUGGAAAGACGAACUACUGCGAAAGCAUUUACCAAGGAUGUUUUCAUUAA